UGAAUGGACUUCAAAGGCUUUAUGCUAGGUGGAAAAAGUGAAAGAGAGAAAGACAUGUAUUGUACGUUCUCACGUACAUGCAGAAUCUAAAAAAGUCAAACUUACAGAAAUAACAGUUUAGAAUGGUGGUUGCCAGGCCCUGGGGAAAAUGUUGAAUACAGGGUACAAACUUACAGGUAUGAGGUGAAUAAGUUACGCGGAUCCAAUGUAUAGCAUGCUGAGUAUAAUUAACAAAACUGUAUAAUACAGUGAAAGCUAAGAGGGUAGAUCUGAGAUGUUAUUUCCUCAACAUUUUUUAAAAAGGAUUGUAUGAGGGGAUGAGAGUGCCAACCCUGUCAUGGCCAAAUAUGAGUGUAUCAAAUCAUCACAUUGGCAUCUUAAACUUACAGCUUAUAUGUCAAUAAUACCUCAAAAAAGGUGGAAAAAAUAAGAGUCCUGAGUGUUUCCAGUGGGAGAGCCCUCAAGCUAUAUUCUGUGUCCCUCCGACAUCUCCCCGUCAUUCUUGAACUUUCCCUUAUUACUGCCAUGACAAGGUGAACCAGGCUCAUGUAUCCUUUCCUUCCUCAGCCUGGGAGCCCAUCAUUUAGUGGAGAAAGGUGUUCAGAAGCUAGGAUCUGGGGACUGGUGUCAUUAUUGCCAUUGGAAUGUUGCUGUUUCCAGUAACUUGGGAAUAUAUGUAUGUACACAAUCACAUACACAAACACAGAGACACACAUCUAUAGUUAUAUAUCAGUCUAGCCACAUAUGCACACCGAUCAAAUACAAGAAGUUUGCAUGGAGACCUUGAAUUCCAGUAGAAUUCCUCAGAAUUUGUUCUAGUUUACUUCCUUUCCACAUUGGAAAUUCCCUUUAUCAAAAAUGACAGACGUGGCUCUCAGCAUUCUUAUGUAUUUCCUGAGUUGAUGAAUCCCAAUGCAGAUAAGUGAUCUUUCCUCCACAAAAAGGUCCUCCUCACAAUCUAUGCAGAACCAUCCCUGGCCCUUGACUUCCACACCUCACUCAAGCUUGGAUUCAUGAAGCAGUUAGCCACCUUCCCACCCAAUCCCCAGGGAUAUCCUUCUUUCCACCUUGGGCUCUGACUCUCCAGGCAGGGAUGCCCCUUUACACAUACACCUGCCUUGCCUGGCAACACCUAAUGGCUUUAGGACUGACUUGUUCAGGCACCAAAAAGGGAAGGGAAAGAAAGGGUAGGGACAGGAAAACGUCAAUAUGUCCUAAUACAGUCAGCCAAUCAACGUGAACUGGGCCAAACCCAGGCAAUGUGAUGAAGCCAGUUGUUUGUUGUUGUUUUUUUAUUUCCCUCAUUACCCUCCAACUUCCCUUCCUGCCUCUGUCCUUUGCCCCAGUUCCUUUUUCUUCUUAAGUCCUGCCCUCCAUCAAGAGUACCAAUGUUACAAAGAAUGAUUCCCAUAUUAUUACUGAUCUCUGCUGCUUGGCUGACAUUCAGCGUGACAUCCCUGCAGCUGGGACACUCACACUCUCUCUCUCUCUCUCAUGAUGGACCAGAAGGCUUCACUCCUAAUUUCAGGGAUAGGUAGGAGAGAAGGUGCAGGGCACAUGUUGGAGCCUUCAGUCCUUCAUCUGUGAAAUGCGGAUGAUCACAAAUUGUGAGAGACACAGAGACAGCAGCAACCAGACCCCUUUCAAUGGGUGCUACAUGCCAAACCCCGUGCAUCACAGGACUCCUUGACAUUCAGGAGCACGCCAAGUAGGUUUCCAUGCCAGGACAGUUGCAUUCGUUGUUCCUUCUGCCUGGAAUGCUCUUCCCUUAGAUAACCCCACGGCCUGCUCCCUCACUUCCUCCAGAUCUCUGCUUACUUGCCAUCUUUCAGGGAGACUUUCCCUCAUUGCCUUAUAUAAAAUAAUAACAUCAUACCAACAUAUACCCUUUCCCCUGAUCUAGCAUUAUCUUUCUUCAUAGUGCCUGCCACCCUUGAUUUAUUUACUGACCACCAAGUCUAUGAAAGGACAGACGUAGUCACUUCUGUCCUGUCACAUACUCCUCCAGUAGUGCUCAGGUAUAUGGCAGGUGCUCAGAAAACAUUUGUGGAAGGACAUUCUGGAGCCAGGCAACACACACUGCUAACAUACACAGGUACCCUACAAGACGCGCACUGACCCACUGUAAUAAUUACGAUACAUACUGAGAUUCCAGGAGACAACUGAUACGCUCAACAACACACAGUCAGCAUGUGAGGUUCAAGGCCUCGGAAUCAUUCUGCCAGCUUCCAAACCCUCAGUUCCCGGACAGAGACCUCACAGCCAAGAACAUAAGAGGUUUUAUUUCUGACACAGAGACUCCAGACAGCUCAGACAGAUAUCCAGAGACACCAAAAAGAGCUCACUGAAUCUCUGCACAGAGAGCACACAACUCGUCUCAGACCCUCAAACACAACUGAGACCAUAACCAUACACACUGUGACAAAGACCCUCCAAACAGACCAAAGUCUUCCAGACAAAAACAAAUGAGAGCUGCACAGAUAUUUCACAUCAUGGAGACUGACUCCCAAACCACUCGACACUUCCCAAUCUAAUACAAAAACCCUAAACAGAAAGACAGAAUUUUUAAUAACUCAAGAACAUCAUAUAACCUUUAGAUAAAGUCCCCAGACAGAUGGAAAACCUGCACCCUGUGAACAGAUCCCCAAGCGGCUGAUAGUUUACACCUUUAGAUGAACCCAUCCUUAAAGCAGCUCAGAGACAUCACAACUUGGGACCCUGUAUCAACAACUCAGAGCUCUCAGUGUGGGGUGCACACUCCUACACAGAGAUCUCACACCCAGGGGCUGAAAUGCCAGAAAGCUCCAAAAAGGCACACCCCGGAAUACAGGCACACGCAUCCUAGAGGCAUUGUACUGUGGCUCGCAAAAUCCACUCAGAUCAAAUAUUCCAUCACUCACAACUCCGCCCAAAGGCUCAAGGAGAUCAAAUGUACCCAAACAGCACCUGCGUCGUCACACGUAGCAAUACACAACCCCAAGCUGCCAGAUACACUUUACUCUCCAGGGAGAGACACCAAACUCAGAGACCUCUCCCUGGACAAGAAUUGCAUGCAUUUGUGCAAAUGACCGUGCGUGGCCACACGAUACAGACUGAGCGAGAGCUAAACAAGACUGAAACGCCGUCAGCAUGCUCCUCCAGCGACAGCGCCAAACCUCGCCGCUAACCAGGGCAGCUAUUCGACCCCUUCGGGAAAAGCAGUAAAAAUUGUAUGCUCUGAAAAGCCGCGCACGGCAACGCAGGCGCACGCGUACACACAGGCCUGUGGCCCUCAGUUCCAGCUCUGCGAUCCCAGGGCCUGUACCAGCCAGCCAGCCAAAUCGAAGGAGGCCGACCAAGGAAAGCGGGAGUCGCGGGAUUUCCGGCGCCUCUUCGCGUCCCGGAAGAGCUGAGUCCGGCAAGCACGCGGUGACCAAUCAAUGCCCAGAACGCUUCCUGACGCCAUACCCGCAACUGGCAGCCUAUCUCGCUCCGUAGCCAUCCCCCUUGGAUGAAACCGUGUAGAAACCAAGGGGUGAGGUUGGAAAAGAGACGAAGAAAGUUGCAGCUUAAUACCGGUGUCCACUCAGACUCGAAUGCCACGGGAAGACGGAAUGGAGCGAAUGGUUACAGAAUCGGUUCCAUCGGGAAAGCCAGCCACACUCCGGAGAAAGCUUCCGACUGGGAUCUGAAGGCCUGGCAUGGGGAAGGCCUCUGUCGCGGACUGCGAGUAAUACUGACAACAGGACAUUCCAUUCUGUUAGGAAAGGGGUCAGCUCCAAGGGGACCCAAGGAUACCGUGCAGAUGAAAUAAAGACCACAGCUUUCUCA
Molecule: long non-coding RNA, 3810 nt
Organism: Capra hircus (goat)
Lineage: Eukaryota; Metazoa; Chordata; Mammalia; Artiodactyla; Bovidae
Exons: 2
Source: RefSeq, a predicted model, not a curated record